GAUGAACGCUGGCGGCGUGCCUAAUACAUGCAAGUCGAGCGAACAGACGAGGAGCUUGCUCCUCUGACGUUAGCGGCGGACGGGUGAGUAACACGUGGAUAACCUACCUAUAAGACUGGGAUAACUUCGGGAAACCGGAGCUAAUACCGGAUAAUAUAUUGAACCGCAUGGUUCAAUAGUGAAAGACGGUUUUGCUGUCACUUAAAGAUGGAUCCGCGCCGCAUUAGCGAGGUGGUAAGGUAACGGCUUACCAAGGCAACGAUGCGUAGCCGACCCGAGAGAGUGACCGGCCACACUGGAAGUGAAAGACGGUCCAGACUCCUACGGGAGGCAGCAGUAGGGAAUCUUCCGCAAUGGGCGAAAGCCUGACGGAGCAACGCCGCGUGAGUGAUGAAGGUCUUCGGAUCGUAAAACUCUGUUAUUAGGGAAGAACAAAUGUGUAAGUAACUAUGCACGUCUUGACGGUACCUAAUCAGAAAGCCACGGCUAACUACGUG
Molecule: ribosomal RNA, 497 nt
Filed under: uncultured bacterium
Lineage: Bacteria
Description: partial 16S ribosomal RNA
Rfam family: Bacterial small subunit ribosomal RNA
Source: RNAcentral